Molecule: non-coding RNA, 69 nt
Organism: Podarcis lilfordi (Lilford's wall lizard)
Lineage: Eukaryota; Metazoa; Chordata; Lepidosauria; Squamata; Lacertidae
Source: the annotation of a GenBank genome assembly
GCUGUAGCUCUGUGGUAGAGCAUCUGCUUUGCCCACAGAAGGUCCCAGGUUCAAUCCCCGGCAUCUCCA